GCAAACUUGGUCAUUUAGAGGAAGUAAAAGUCGUAACAAGGUUUCCGUAGGUGAACCUGCGGAAGGAUCAUUAACAAAUCCAAAAGAUGUCUUUUGAUUCAUGUGUUCUUUGCAUGUGAUUCAAGACACAUUUGUUCCAUGUGUGCAUUUCAUUAUGUGCACGUUGUGAUACAUUUCUGUAAAUUGUCUGAUUUCUUAUGUAUUUCUAAUUCUAAAAAUGACUUUUAACAAUGGAUCUCUAGGCUCUUGCAUCGAUGAAGAACGCAGC
Molecule: unclassified non-coding RNA, 268 nt
Filed under: uncultured fungus
Lineage: Eukaryota; Fungi
Description: partial contains small subunit ribosomal RNA, internal transcribed spacer 1, and 5.8S ribosomal RNA
Rfam family: Eukaryotic small subunit ribosomal RNA (bases 1-73)
Source: RNAcentral